CCGAGUUUACAACUCCCAAACCCAAUGUGAACGUUACCAAACUGUUGCCUCGGCGGGGUCACGCCCCGGGUGCGUAAAAGCCCCGGAACCAGGCGCCCGCCGGAGGAGGAACCAACCAAACUCUUUCUGUAGUCCCCUCGCGGACCGUAUUUCUUACAGCUCUGAGCAAAAAUUCAAAAUGAAUCA
RNAcentral lists this unclassified non-coding RNA (186 nucleotides) under soil metagenome. Its description in RNAcentral is "partial internal transcribed spacer 1". The record is from RNAcentral.